RNAcentral lists this ribosomal RNA (253 nucleotides) under uncultured bacterium. RNAcentral's name for it is "partial 16S ribosomal RNA". It matches the Rfam family "Bacterial small subunit ribosomal RNA", at positions 524 to 776 of the family's 1533-position model. The record is from RNAcentral.
UACGUAGGGUGCGAGCGUUGCCCGGGUUUAUUGGGCGUAAAGAGCGCGCAGGCGGCUCGGCGCGUCCCGUGUGAAAUCCCCCGGCUCAACCGGGGGCGGUCGCGGGAAACGGUCGAGCUGGAGCGAGGGAGAGGGUCGUGGAAUUCCCGGAGGAGCGGUGGAAUGCGUAGAGACCGGGAGGAACACCAGUGGCGAAGGCGACGACCUGGACCUCGGCUGACGCUGAGGCGCGAAAGCGUGGGGAGCGAUCCGG